UUGGUUGAGAAUUAGUCGAAAAGUAGACCUCCAGUUCCCUAUGUAGGUCUUCUAAUAUUUUGGGGUCGUUGAGCAAGCUUUCGUUAAGCCGCCAAGUUCCUCUCCCUUUAGCAGGGAAUUGUUCAUUCAAGUGGAGAAUGAUCGGCGCAUGAUCCGACCACGUUAUAAGGCCUAUAGUUGUGUUGACCACGUUGCUAAUCAAGGAGGUAGGUAUCAGGAAGCGGUCUAUUCGGGAGUACGAGUUAUGUGCCACUGAGUGAAAUGUGAAAUCCUUUUCUU
This is a non-coding RNA of Pelobates cultripes (western spadefoot toad), 279 nucleotides long. The record is from the annotation of a GenBank genome assembly. Lineage: Eukaryota; Metazoa; Chordata; Amphibia; Anura; Pelobatidae.